GUCCGUUCCACUACGCUUCGCAGCAAACUCCGCCUGACCCUGGGCAGUCCACUGCCAGACGGUUACAAACGUCGCCAUCAAUCCGUUGCUUCCUCCACCUAUAAAAGAGGGACCCAGAUACGUUAUUCGAUAAGCUCAUUUCUUAUCUCAAAACUCUGCUAAAUUCUCCGUUCGAGCACUCCAUUCUUGUUGAGGCAGAGAACUGACUUG
Molecule: long non-coding RNA, 210 nt
Filed under: Elaeis guineensis (African oil palm)
Lineage: Eukaryota; Viridiplantae; Streptophyta; Magnoliopsida; Arecales; Arecaceae
Description: long non-coding RNA (EGUI_LNC068233)
Source: RNAcentral